UGAGGAAUAUUGGUCAAUGGGGGCAACCCUGAACCAGCCAAGUCGCGUGAAGGAUGAAGGUCUUAUGGAUUGUAAACUUCUUUUAUACAGGAAUAAAUUGGGGGACGUGUCCCCUUUUGCAUGUACUGUAUGAAUAAGGAUCGGCUAACUCCGUGCCAGCAGCCGCGGUAAUACGGAGGAUCCGAGCGUUAUCCGGAUUUAUUGGGUUUAAAGGGUGCGCAGGCGGGAUGUUAAGUCGGCGGUGAAAUUUUGCAGCUCAACUGUAAAAGUGCCUUCGAUACUGGCUUCCGUGAGUGUGGAUGAAGUAGGCGGAAUUUGUGGUGUAGCGGUGAAAUGCUUAGAUAUCACGAGGAACUCCGAUUGCGCAGGCAGCUUACUAAGCCACAACUGACGCUCAUGCACGAAGGCGUGGGGAUCAAACA
RNAcentral lists this ribosomal RNA (422 nucleotides) under uncultured bacterium. RNAcentral's name for it is "bacterial SSU rRNA". It matches the Rfam family "Bacterial small subunit ribosomal RNA", at positions 355 to 774 of the family's 1533-position model. The record is from RNAcentral.